Molecule: ribosomal RNA, 348 nt
Filed under: uncultured bacterium
Lineage: Bacteria
Description: partial 16S ribosomal RNA
Rfam family: Bacterial small subunit ribosomal RNA
Source: RNAcentral
CCUACGGGUGGCAGCAGUGGGGAAUAUUGGGCAAUGGGCGCAAGCCUGACCCAGCAACGCCGCGUGAAGGAAGAAGGCUUUCGGGUUGUAAACUUCUGUUGGCAGGGAAGAGGGGAAGACGGGACCUGACGAAUAAGCCACGGCUAACGACGUGCCAGCAGCCGCGGUAAUACGGAGGUGGCAAGCGGUGUCCGGCUUUACUGGGUGUAAAGGGCGUGUAGCCGGGUUGACAAGUCAGAUGUGAAAUCCUGCGGCUUAACCGCAGAACUGCAUUUGAAACUGUUGAUCUUGAGUACUGGAGCGUCUGGUGGCCUUCCUAUUUUAGCGGUGCCAUGCGUAGAUAUUAGG